Molecule: ribosomal RNA, 255 nt
Filed under: uncultured bacterium
Lineage: Bacteria
Description: partial 16S ribosomal RNA
Rfam family: Bacterial small subunit ribosomal RNA
Source: RNAcentral
UACAGGGGGGGGCAAGCGUUGUCCGGAAUUACUGGGCGUAAAGGGCCAGUAGGCGGCCAACUAAGUCACACGUGAAAUCCCCAGGCUUAACCUGGGAACUGCGUGUGAUACUGGAUGGCUUGAAUUCGGGAGAGGGAUGCAGAAUUCCAGGUGUAGCGGUGAAAUGCGUAGAUAUCUGGAGGAAUACCGGUGGCGAAGGCGGCAUCCUGGACCGACAUUGACGCUGAACGGCGAAAGCUAGGGGAGCAAACGGGG